RNAcentral lists this long non-coding RNA (1195 nucleotides) under Meleagris gallopavo (turkey). RNAcentral's name for it is "lncRNA (ENSMGAG00000022043.1)". Lineage: Eukaryota; Metazoa; Chordata; Aves; Galliformes; Phasianidae. The record is from RNAcentral.
AUGAAUUUUCUCUAUCAAAUAGUUUUAUUGUGCUCUUUGUUGUAGUUUCCAUGGAAAUAUGAAGUAUUAAUUUUGGUGUGACAUACAUAAUCUAGCACUCAGUAACUCAACAUAUUGUAUAGAACAUCAGGUACACCUUCCUGCUGGUACAGCAGCAACCUUUGAGUGCGCAGCUUAUUGCUAAAGCUGAGAGUUCAAUGCAAGAACAUGAAUAGAGUAUGAAUAUAAACAUGAAGCCUCACAGGAUGAUAUAAAGAUGAAGACUUAGAGCAAGGAUAAGCAAUCAGUGGAUGAAAACACAAAGAUACUGAAAUAUUUGCCACCAUUCAAAUAUUAGCUAAUGCAGAACACACUUGAUAAAGCAUUUUGAUUCUCACUUUACAACAAUUAAAGGCAUUGUAACUGAAGAAUAUAUUUAUUUAACUGAUAAAGCAACUAGGAGUAAACUUGUCUUUCUGCCUUUAAUAGUUUUUAUUUUAUGUUUUUCGUUGUUCAUCAAUAGAGUUCUACCACCUACAGUUCUAAUUUUUAUAUCUGCAACAAGCUGUGCACUGCAGAUCUGCACAUGCAACAGCGUGCAGCAAUUUCUUAAGUUUUGCAGCUUUCUGAAUCAAAAUCACUGUUUUUAAUUUGAAGUUAUUUAAAUCUUCACCCUUUCAGAUAUUUUCAUUCUGUAUUCCCCAAAAAGAAGGGAAACAAGAAACCAGCACAAGAGCUGAGAAGAUCAGAAGUUCUCUCAUUACUAACAAACCUAGAGGGAAUUCCGACAAAGGCAAAAGAGGAACAACAGCAUAAAUCCAUGAAAUCUAUCAAGUAAAAGGCAUGGAUUGAAUAACUUGCAACACCAUCAUGCACACAGACUAUACAGCUACAGAAGAGUCAAAAGAUCAUAAAUACCUUAAGGCGAUUAAGAUCUUCAGUGUGUUUAUUAAAGGUAGUCAUCACAGGCACUGGCACUCAGGCAUGUAUUUGGACACAUUAAAAGACUGACUUGCAGGGAAGAUCCAUCUCCAGUUUAAUCUCAAGGGUUACUUGCUGAUCUCAGCAGUGCCUACAAAUAGCUUUCACUACUUUGUAAAAGAAUGUUCGUCAUUUGAAAUUGUGUCACUCUGGGCAUUAAUAUCUCGUGACAAAGAGCACACAAAUCAUUUGGUACGCACAAAAUGGGGUGAAAUAGUUGUAAAGUUACUCAAAA